RNAcentral lists this ribosomal RNA (495 nucleotides) under uncultured bacterium. Its description in RNAcentral is "bacterial SSU rRNA". It matches the Rfam family "Bacterial small subunit ribosomal RNA", at positions 30 to 521 of the family's 1533-position model. The record is from RNAcentral.
AUUGAACGCUGGCGGAAUGCUUUACACAUGCAAGUCGAACGGUAGAGGGGGCAACCCCUUGAGAGUGGCGAACGGGUGAGUAAUAUAUCGGAACGUGCCCAGUCGUGGGGAUAACGUAGCGAAAGUUACGCUAAUACCGCAUACGAUCUACGGAUGAAAGCGGGGGGACUCGCAAGAGCCUCGCGCGAUUGGAGCGGCCGAUAUCAGAUUAGGUAGUUGGUGGGGUAAGGGCUCACCAAGCCAACGAUCUGUAGCUGGUCUGAGAGGACGACCAGCCACACUGGAACUGAGACACGGUCCAGACUCCUACGGGAGGCAGCAGUGGGGAAUUUUGGACAAUGGACGCAAGUCUGAUCCAGCCAUUCCGCGUGCAGGAUGAAGGCCCUCGGGUUGUAAACUGCUUUGUACGGAACGAAACGGUGAGCUCUAAUACAGUUUGCUAAUGACGGUACCGUAAGAAUAAGCACCGGCUAACUACGUGCCAGCAGCCGCGGU